UGAAUAUUCUUACAAUAUAGUUAUUUGCAUAAGUUCAACAAGAUUCUUUUCUCCUUCUAACAGACACAGUUAGAAACACUGAUUAUACUCUGAAGGCUUGAACUGGAAUAUAUAUUUGAGAAUGCACAUAGAAGGAACUAAGGUUCACUUUAUGGAGCCAAUGAAACACCUUGGAAAACCAGCCUGGUACCUGCUUACAGGGUUCCCAGCUAGCAGCUUUGCCAGAAAUGUAUCUGAUUGCCUACACAAUAUAGGCCUAACUUUAGGAGCAAACCUGUAUCACCACCUCCUGCAACCAGAGACACUGUUUAAACAGACCUAUUCUCGGCACUAACAGGCUGCUUCAGUGAGCUGGAACCAUCUACCCACUCAGCUUUUGGACUAUGAAACUUCUUGAGGACUUUUCAGAGAUGGGGACUGAAAGGAACAGAAUGUGCCACUUUGGCAGGUGCACCAUUUUGAGCUGAAGGGAAUCAAGACCCAGCAGACUAAGGAGUUUUUACUGCUCCCUUAUCUGUCUAGAAGAAUUUAGACAGUAGGCUGGUGCUAGAAAGAGAGCUAUUACCAGAGGUAACUUUUUUUUUUUUUCUGUAAGUCUUAUCUGCAAGGCAGGGCAAACAUUGAUUAUCACACAUAUGCUUUUCUCACCUUCCUUCCCUUUUAAAUCCCUGGCCCCUAUCCAGUUCCUGAGCUCAGGAUAGUAUAUAAGCCUCAACUGUCUGUCUUUGAGUCUCUUAUUUUUAUGGAGCUCCCAUAACAUGUGCAAUUAAAUUUGUUUUUCUGUUAGAAUCUAUCUUAUGUAAAUUUAAUUAUGUACUGGACCAGCAGGAAAAAUUUUCUGCCUUUACAAUGUACACACACAUGCAUACCCCAAAGUAUUGCAAAAUUAAGAAAGGGAAAAAUCUUUUCUUGAGAUGAAUCAUUUACCUACUUUAUGGGUCUCAGACUUCUAAGUCACUACAGAGACAAUUGCAAGAUCCCUGUAACUCCAAAUGUGUAUGAGUGAGCAACUUGAAUGUAUUGGAGGAAUGUUCUAGAGAUUAGUAAAAUACACAUUAUUUUGAAAGUGAAAACAAUUUUUUCAAACUACAUAUUGAAACCAUUUUGAGCUUUUAAUUUUCCUUUUAUUUCUUCAAAGCUCUUAAAAUUAUAUUUGAAUUAAUGAAUGAUUUAAUCAAAGAAUUGGUUGAUUAAAAUGCAUUUUUGACUUCUAUACUCCUGAAGUUUAUGGGUGUUUAAAUGCAUAACUACUAAACAAAUUUCUGAAUUGGUUAAGAACUUCAAGAGUUUAAAUGUAUAACUGUCACUUCUAAUAAGAUGAAUCAGAAUCUGUUACUUACAGCUCAGUAAAACUCUUCCAGUCAUCUUCAGUAAUGGAUGGCCUGGUGUGACUGAGUGCGGUCAGUAAAUGCGACUGACUGAUGGCCAGGCUGGUUUUGGCUGGUCCUGGUUGGUGAAGGGAGUCAUCCUCCUUAAAAUGAAAAUGACAAAAAGUUACCUCAGGGACAUGAUUAAAAAGCAGCAGUCUUUUACUUUGACUGUUAUCUCUUUUUGUCAGUGUUUCAGGAGACUCUGUGUCCCUUUCUGAUAGGAAGCACACAGCGAUUUGACUGAUCAAUGAGUUUCAGUCCCUUGUUUAUAAAUAUAGCUCACCUACAAAUCAAAUAAAUGUAUAUCAAAAAAGGAAAUACAAUCUUUAAAAGUUUUACAAUGAUAAUGGAUGGGGAGAGAAAAGCCAUACUCCACUUUGGCUCCGGUAUCUGCUCUUGAUAACACUGAUAUCUGCUCUCAGUUGGUCUCUUUGUUCCUGGGUAAGUUCUUGGUAACCGUCUUGUGAAGCUGUUCUGAACACUGGAGGCCGUGAACACAACUGAUCUUUCCCAGGAGCAUCCUGAGUCAUGGAGCUUGGUGCAGACAGGCACAGUGAGCUCUGCAGGGUUAGGUGCAAUAAUGAGGAGGAGAGAGAAAAAAAGUAUGUAUUUAUCAAAGAUAAAGUAAAAAAUGUUAAAUACUAAAACCUGAAGAUGGACAAGCUUAUAAUUUAAUUAACUGAAGCUAAGCAAACUGCUUAUCUAUAAUAAUAAAAGCAUAAUAUGCUAA
Molecule: long non-coding RNA, 2100 nt
Organism: Myotis daubentonii (Daubenton's bat)
Lineage: Eukaryota; Metazoa; Chordata; Mammalia; Chiroptera; Vespertilionidae
Exons: 2
Source: RefSeq, a predicted model, not a curated record